GAAGCUGAACUUCAGGUUUUAUUUCAGAACAAACAGCAGAAACUUGACAACAUUUCCCUUUAGAAUCCCUAUCACUGAUGUCUUCCCUCCAGAGCUGCCUCAUCGAUCAGUCGACUGACGGAAACCUCGUUUUAUUGAUUAAACCAGAGAUAACAGGAUGAUAACGGAUGCUGCAGCGCCUCCUGUUGGUCCAAUCAGAACAAACCAAACUGACUGUAAAAUGUUUUUUGUUGAUGAAGAGUUCAGGUGGAGUAAAAUCAUCCUGUAAUGUGCUGCAGGAUCCAGUAGAGGGCAGCAGCACCUUAAGAAUUCUGGUUCUAGGUUUCAUUUGGUGCCUCAAACAUGUAACAGUUUUUUAAAUGUUCUGAUUUGACCACAUGAUGGCGCCAUGCUGCGAUAAACAAAGAAAACAAACAAAGGAGAACUCUUGUAGUGAUGUUGACAUGUCUUUUAGAAGACCUCAAAGAUAUUUUAAACUGUUUAAUUCUGAAGUUAGAGGAUUAAACACUCAUUAACGGAAACCAGAGAGGAUCCAGGUUAGAACCCUGUGGGACGCCACGGCAAGAAAAAAACAAAUUUAAAUGCCGUAAAACUGAAACACAAGAAAUUGGCACUUAUUUCUUUUAAAACAAAACUCUUGUAAUGAUGUUGAAAAGUAUUUUAGAAGACUAAACAGAUGUUUUAAACUGUUUAAUUAGAAACUUAGAAGACUAAAUAGAUGUUUUAAACUGUUUAAUUAGAAACUUAGAAGAGUAAACAUAUGUUUUAAACUGUUUAAUUAGAAACUUAGAAGAGUAAACAGAUGUUUUAAACUGUUUAAUUAGAAACUUAGAAGAUUAAGUACUCAGAAAUGGAAACCAAAGAGGAUCCAGGUCUGAUCCUUGUGGGACGCCACGUCAAGAAAAACAACGUAAAACUCAAAUACGACAAAACUGAGUCUGAUUUUCUUGUCAUUUACAGUUAAACUACCAGUUAUUUACACCGUCAACUGUUUUCUAGAUGGAUCGAUUCGUUGUUUUGUCCUAAAAUCUUCAUUUUACUGUCGGAAAAGAAGGACACCAGAAAUCAGUAAUCGUGUUUUUCUUUAACGUUGUUAAUCAGUAACAAGUUUUUCUCUAUUUCUGGUUGAUAAAGGUCCAAACAGUCAGCUAAUCAGGUUGUUUAUCUGUCAGUCGACUGAUCAGUUCUUCUUCAAACUAAAACUUCCUCCAAUGAUCAAUAAAUCAGCAGAUCAAUAAACAUUAAUAUUAACAUCGCAGCACAGAACAGGUUAGGAACAUUCUUCAUGUAGCAGCAGCUAGAACAUUAAAGGUGCUAAAGUCAUGUAUAAAACAAGUAACCUUAAAGCUUUGACUCUCUAAAAACAACACCAGCGCUAAUGUUGUAGAAGCGUUGUUUCCAUGUUGUCUGUUGGUUUUCUACAGGUUAAUAAACAGAAUAAAUAGUGGUUACUUUGCUUGUUCAGCAGAAAAAGACACUAAAUAGUUCCAAUAAAUACGUGCAGCUGAUUGAGAACCUAAACAUUCUCCAGGUUCCACCAUGUCUCAGAUCUCAUGAUGUUUUAAUGCGGUUCCUGUUUAAAGUGGUUCUGUUGAGAUGAUUUAAUGAUUAAUAACCAACAAGUGCAGUCACAACCAGAACAAACUAGUCUGGAACUGGGUCUGACCGUUUCAAUCCUCUGAAAGAACCUCAGACUCAUUAUGAAGUUCAAAAACACAAAGCAUCCGAAUCAAAGAGGAUCCAGGUUAGAACCCUGAGGAACGCCAUGCCAUGAAAAACUCACAUUUAAACGACGUAGAACUCAAAUACAACAAACUGGCACUCAUUUCUUUAAAACAAAACUUUUGUAAUGAUGUUGAAAAGUCUUUUAGAAGACCUCAAAGUUAUUUGAAACUGUUUACUUAGUAGGUUAGUAGAUUAAACACUCAUUAAUGGAAACUGAAGAGGAUCCAGGUUAGAACCCUGAGGAACGCCACGCCAAGAAAAACUCUAAACUUGAGCUUAUUUCUGUUCUAAUGACAAUCAAACUGUCUUCGUUGGUAAUUAGACUUUUGGUUCUGAUGUUUUCCAGUCGGUUUCAGUUUCAAUCCUCUGGAAGAACCUCCGACUUGUUAUAACACACAAAUGAAAACUGUCGGACUCAGUUCCAGACUAGUUUGUUCCGGUUCUGACUGAACCUGUUGGAUAUUAAUCAGAAACAUCAGAACAUCACAGAGAACCACCUUAAAAACAUCAGAACCUCUGAGAGUCUAACCACCAACAAAGACAGUUUCCGUCCUGUGGCGUUCCUCAGGGUUCUAACCUGAAUCAUCUUUGGUUUGUUUCAAUCCUCUGGGAGUUCUUCAGACUCAUUAUUAAGUUAAAAGGAUCCAGGUUAGAACCCUGAGGAACGCCACAUCGUGAAAAACUCGAAACUAGACCUUAGAUCUGUUCUAAAGAUGGUAAUCAGACUCUCAGGGUGGAAUAUUUUCUGGAUCAACGUGUUCUUCAAAUAAAUUCAGGUUCCUGUCAAAAGGAACCAGGAAAUAUUCUCACAGAAUUUAGAUGUCUUUAUGAAACAGUUCCUCAAACUGAUUGAUCAGCUGAUUGAUGACUAGUCUGGACCGACUGGAAGCGUCCAGGUGAGUUUAUGGAGGUGAAGGUGGAGCUGCGGGUGAUGAGAGGCAGGUGUUUGUUGUUCUGUCCUCUGAUUGGAUGAUAAAUGAGACCAUAUAAGGAGCUGUUAGAACAAAAUGAAACCUGACACCAGCAGAGCAGAGAUCACUGUCCGAGGGUUGGACGACCAAUCAGCUGCAGUGUUAGACGGACGAGUCGGAGACACCUUUAGAAAAUC
Long non-coding RNA from Amphiprion ocellaris (clown anemonefish), 2833 nucleotides. The record is from Ensembl. NCBI's taxonomy places the organism in Eukaryota, Metazoa, Chordata, Actinopteri, Pomacentridae.